RNAcentral lists this ribosomal RNA (330 nucleotides) under uncultured bacterium. RNAcentral describes it as "bacterial SSU rRNA". It matches the Rfam family "Bacterial small subunit ribosomal RNA", at positions 568 to 898 of the family's 1533-position model. The record is from RNAcentral.
CGCGUAGGUGGUAGUGCAAGUCUGAGGUGGAAUCUUAGGGCUUAACCCUAAAAUUGCCUUGGAAACUGCAUUACUUGAGUCAGUGAGGGGAGGGUAGAAUUCCUGGUGUGGCGGUGAAAUGCGUAGAUAUCAGGAGGAAGGCCGGUGGCGAAGGCGGCCCUCUGGCGCUGAACUGACACUGAGGCGCGAAAGCGUGGGGAGCAAACAGGAUUAGAUACCCUGGUAGUCCACGCCCUAAACGGUGGGUACUAGGUGUAGGGCUCGUAAGGGUUCUGUGCCGAAGCGAAAGCAUUAAGUACCCCGCCUGGGGAGUACGGCCGCAAGGUUGAA